AGUGCCUCUCAGUGUGUCCAGCGCAAGGUUGGAGCUCUGCAAGAAUGGAAGACGCUGGAUCUGGAAAUAAAAAGAGGAAUUGAAGGGCAACAAUGGAAAUGAGACAAAAGAAGAAGAAAUAUGUUUGUUUUACCUGUUUAGCUGCCCUAUAUUCCAUCUGCAAUUUGAGUGGGGCAUGAAGCCCCUGGAUGGUCCUGAGGGACGAGAAAUUCAUCUUGUCCUGGCUCAACUGGAACUGUUAUAAUACAAUAAAAACACAUCAUAGCAUUAAAGGAAGUGUAACAAAGAUAGCAUUUAAAGUCAUCGCUAUUAGAAGCACUAAUGAAAAAUAUAGGGAGAAGAAGGAGGUCAUCAUUUCAUGAAAAAGUAUGAAAGCUGUACCGCAUACAAAACAGGAAGGAUUGUCUCAUGAGGGAUUUGUACAAGGAUUCAAGGCUUGUGUUGCUGGCUGAAUGACUUCCAACACCUUCCAUGAAGUGGGCCGGUCUUUCGAUGACUCGAGGGCCACUCCCCCGCCCUAGUCCGCCAGUUAAGUUGAAGCACACAAAGUACUACCACAUGUGUGUUUUUGAUUUGCAGGUUGGACGCCAGACGGGUGGAGCGGCCACAGCUGCUGGCAAUGACAAUCAGCCAUCUUCAUAAGCCAGUGGACGCCACCACCCCGUCGCCCGAUCAACUAGUCUGUUUACCACGUCCUGACUUUGCGCGCCCCUAUCGGAUCCCACGCCUGCCUUUCUUCCGAGCUUCCACACCCCGCGUCGGCUCAGCUACACCAAGCAGAACAACUUACGCCCGCCACGUUAUUGUUUGUGCUCGCCAAUAAAAUAUUAUUCGCC
Corythoichthys intestinalis (scribbled pipefish) is the source of this 836-nucleotide long non-coding RNA. RefSeq lists it as uncharacterized. NCBI's taxonomy places the organism in Eukaryota, Metazoa, Chordata, Actinopteri, Syngnathiformes, Syngnathidae. The record is from RefSeq and is a predicted model, not a curated record. The transcript is spliced from 4 exons.